Long non-coding RNA from Myodes glareolus (Bank vole), 3521 nucleotides. RefSeq lists it as uncharacterized. The record is from RefSeq and is a predicted model, not a curated record. NCBI's taxonomy places the organism in Eukaryota, Metazoa, Chordata, Mammalia, Rodentia, Cricetidae.
GACAUUGGUCAUAGAUAGAUGCAGAGUUUGUGGUUCACCCAGCAUGACUGACACCAUCAGAAAGAAUGGCAAACUAGUUUAUCGUCAUCCACCCAAGACACUGCACUAUGGCUCCUGAGUCCAACAGGUGCCUCACAUAUGGGAAAUAGUAAAUAACAUUUGACUGUGUGAUACAGUCAGGGUAACUGAACAAAGAUAAAGAGAUCUUCAGGGUAAACACUGGUCAACCGAUUGUAUCCAGUCAGAGAAGCAGGAAUCUGUGUAUCUGAGAAACCUAAUAUAUCCAAUGAGAUAAGACUCACCCACAGAAUAGUGAGAGAAAAUAAAUCAGAGUUAUAAGUGUGGCAGCAGUGCCACAAACUGGGUUAUACAUGGGAAAACUAUCAAGGGAGAAGUAAAAAAGACAAAACUACACUUGGCCUUCUAACCUUUGCAAUAACUCUAUUAUGACUCUUGCUGUGUGGCCAUCCAUGGGCUUACCUUUAUCUUUCAGAUGCUUCUUCAAAGAAUUAUCCUGCCUAGGAGGGAUGACAGAAGAUAAACAGUCGUGUCACUUGUCACCUGAGGAAGAAACGUUAGCAAUUGAGAGCUCUGUGCAGCUCAAUCGAUAUCACCGGGCUGUGCCCGUUGAUGGGUUUUCAUCUAGUCAUUUCUCAGAGGCAGAGCACUUCCCAUGAAGAGGCAGUUAAGACAUCUUGUUUGCUCUCUCCUCCAUUGCUAAUGCUAUGUUUUCCUCAUCUCCUAAAUGAAUCACAGAUGGUCCCUCACUUACAGUGGUUCCUCUUACAAUAUUUUGGCUUUACAAAAGUGCAAAAGCCCUAUAUGUGCAGUAGAAGCUGAACUUUGAAUUUUGAUCUCUUCCUGGGCUGGUGGCAUGAUGCUCUCACGAGAUGCCAGGCAGCGGUACUGAGCUGUGGCUCCCAGUUAGCCAUGAGAUCACGAGAGCAAACAACUGACCCUCUGCGGUGUUAUGUGUUGCUAAGCUGUGCUGUUUGCCUGGUUAGUUGCAUUAAUACACUCCCCACUUACGAUAUUUUCAACAUACAACAGAGUAAGUGGGACAUCUGUGGUGUCAUAACCCAGCUCAUUUCUCUACCCAUCCCUCUCCCCCCCCCACUCUUUAUAUUGUUAUAGAACUACCUUCAAUGACACAUCUUAGUGUGGAAAAUUACAUCAACAUCCCAUGUUUUAGCUCUCUUACCCCUUGGAAAGCUUAAAUUUUAUAAUUUCUUCUGAAAGGUGGAGGGAGGAAAAUACUCUUCACCUGUUGGUUUUGAGCUUGAUCAUGUGACUGGAGUCAUCCAAUAAGGUGGAGUGACUGUGCCCAUGUGCCUGCUCCAAGCCUUGGGGUUUAAGGAGCUGGUGGCAUUUCCUCUUGCUCGUUCUCACUUCUUGCCAGGAAAGAGGCACACCUAGCCCAACUACCGUCCCCACCACAAAGACACCCUGCUUACUGUUUCAGCUGCCUAUUUCCACCCCAGCUUUCUUUCUGACUCCAUAACAUUUUGUCUUCACUUUGGGAUAUCCCCCAAUAUCCUUUCAGAGUUGGUUGUUACGGCACUGACUAGUUAGGUAUCCAAAUCUGUAUUCACCUCUUCCUUUGUGUGACAAAUCUCAAUUUUUUUUUUCAGCCUGGCAGUGUUCCCAGGGAGCCCCACAGAUCUCCCUCUAUGUAGCUCAGGGCUGAGAGAUGCAGAAGUUGCAAUUCUGAUGAAUAUAGUUGCUUUUAUUUCUGUACAGCUUCCGUAUAAGGACCAGGAGUUUAGCUUCAUCCACUUUUGUUCUUUACUACUCGGCAGAGUGGCGAGCACACAGCAGAUCUUGGUACUGCUUGCUGAAUGCUGUGGAAGCAGUCACGUGGUAUGGAAGCCAAGGGAUGGAGGAUCUAAGCUUGGGUUCCAUUCUUCACCAGAGAUCCUACAACACCUACUAAUUUAUGUGCUCCCCAAAUGGCAUACUAAUUUCUUCUGCGUCUGAGAGCAAACUCUACUGUAUUCUACAGGGAACAGAAAAGAAUAUUGACAAUACAUGAACUCAAGAACACUGCUUUACUGACUAUUAAGAAUUUUAAGCCACAGAGAACAAACUCAUUUACCUGUUAACAAGCUGACACAUCAUUAGUUCUACUAAGAGGCCAAGGUUAGAGGGAUACCUCUCACCUUCCCUGCCCUGAUAGCCACCUAAGAACUCUUUCUAAACAAAUACUGAGAAUGUCAUAGUAAUAUACCAGGAUUUGUCCCUUUAUCCUCACACAGGGACCAAGGAAGAGGGGAGAGUGGUCUCGGGGCCAUCUGGAGCUGUGUUCCCAGCCACCACACCAAUCCCGGGGACAGUGGGCCCAAGCAAAGAUGGUCAAUGAGUUGCCACUCCUGCAUACCACCUCAUUCUCCAACCUCACUCAUUUUGCUCUUCUGACAUUUUCUUCGGAGGUGGCCAGAUUCUUCUUCUCUUACACAAAAUAAAAGAAAAUCCACCCCUGGACAUUUUUCUGAAAACCUGCCAGUCAUCUGCCUGCCAUUCCUGUUGAUUUCUCUCCUCUCCCACAGCCUCAUGCGGCUUUGGUUUCACCACCCUACUGAAACCACCACUCAGGAGCGGGUCCUAAAUGCAAUCACAAAUGCCCUUAGAAGAAACAGAUGAACAGGGAGAUUUGACUAUCGAAGAGUGGUAACUGUGGCCUGGAAAGCACAGACUGGGCUGUAAAGCUAUCUGAUUUACAUCUGCUUGAGCCUGGAGCUUGAAGUGAAAGGCAUUGGACAAUUGCUAACACUUUGAAGAGAAUGUCUCUCUUGUUAAAAAAGAAGAAGGAUGAGGAGGAGGAAGAGGAAGAGGAAGAGGAGAAGAAGAAUAUGACGCCACGCCUUGCUUCCAUUUCUCUAAAAAUGUUCUCUAAAGGAUAUCAUCCAUUUGAAUGCACUGUAAGAAUAUCCUAUACUGUAAGGUACAUGUGAUAUGUGCAUUUAAAGUAGCUGUAUCUCAAUAGAGCUCAAGUCCCCAUAGUUCACCCAUUUGAAGUAUAUGAUCCAAUGCUUUUCAGUUCAUUCAAAUGGUUGUGCUAUGACUGUCAAAACUGAUUUUGGAACAUUUGUGUUUCUUUCAGUAAAAACACUGACUGUGUGCAGAAGCACAUACCUGUCACCUCAGCAUUCAGGACUGUGUGUAGAAGUACAUGCCUGUCACAGCAUGCAGGACGGUGUGCAGCAGCACAUGCCUGUCAUCUCAGCAUGAAGGACUGUGUUCAUCUCAGCAUGCAGGAGGCUGAGGUGAGAAGAUCCAGAAUCUGGAGUCACCCUGAAAUGCAAGGUCUAGAUUAGCUUGAGCUACAUAGCAUUCCUGCUUCAAAAACACAAACCGCCACAUCACCAUCCCCAUGACUACCACCAUCACCACCACCAUCACCAUCACCACCACCAACAAAAACCAAACCAAACUAAAGUUCUCUGUCAGUGAGCAGUUGCAUUCUUAUUCCCUCAGCCUCACCCUAUGCAAACGACAGUGUGCUUCAUCUCUUAGGUAUUUGC